This is a non-coding RNA of Arachis ipaensis, 734 nucleotides long. NCBI's taxonomy places the organism in Eukaryota, Viridiplantae, Streptophyta, Magnoliopsida, Fabales, Fabaceae. The record is from RefSeq and is a predicted model, not a curated record.
AAAACGCCCUUUACUAUUCAAAACGUGUGACGGAUUGAUCCUUCCGUGCAAAAUGCUCUCCUAGACAUAAUGGAGAGGGGUGAUCUGUCGCUUAUUUGGCGUGUAUUGGGCCUAGACUACCGUAACGGUGCACAUGUAAGUAAGGUGGAUUGAGGUUAGGGACGAAUUGGUCCCUGGAUGGAAAGACGACGUCGUUUUUCUGUUUGUCCUAUUUGUUCAAAUGGAACUCGUUCGCCAUUACCGUUGUUCAUUUCUGUGAGUGGUUGAGUGUGGGGGUAUUGUGCAAGCUUAAAUGGCCAGUGACGGAGCCUCAUCCAGCUCACGACUCGUUCUUUGGGUGUCCAUUCUUUAAGCUGAAAAAUCCCAGUCACUGCAAGUUCUUCUUAUGGCUGGAUGACCUUGUUUCAACAAUAAGAGUCCUUGAAAAGUUUAUUACGGAGAACGAGGUUGAUGAUCUGAAAGUGUAUCUUGGGAAGAAGGUAGUGGAAUAGAAGCUAAUUGAUUUGGAGAAGAAGGUGUUGUAUCUUGAGAGGAAGAUGAAUGUUAAUCUGUAUUUGGUUAUUCUUGUAGUGGUUUCUGUAAUUUUUGCUUCUGUCAUUGUCAAUCUUGGCUGAAAAGUAGGUAAAAAAAAUGAUGUAAUGUAGUAUGGGAUGAGUUUCCAUUUUGUUGUAUGCUAUUCGAACAAAAAUAUUGUAAGCUAAAUUAUGAUAUAUUCAGCAAAGUGAUUGCCCUAA